RNAcentral lists this long non-coding RNA (319 nucleotides) under Manihot esculenta (cassava). RNAcentral's name for it is "long non-coding RNA (MESC_LNC009728)". Lineage: Eukaryota; Viridiplantae; Streptophyta; Magnoliopsida; Malpighiales; Euphorbiaceae. The record is from RNAcentral.
GAUAAUCAUGGUCAUUAACAUCAUUACUCAUUAAACACUCUGUACAUAAUGGGGAUUCACACACCUCUAGGUCAAGCACUACUAUAAUCCUCAAUACAUCAUCAAAUCAUUCAUUACAUUACAUGGUCAUAAAUACUCAUUACAUCAUGUUCAUGUCCACUACUAUCUAUUACAACAUACAUGACUUAACUUCACUCUAGCCGACUUCCCGAUCUAUCCUGUACCUGCAACUCUGGGGAUAAAGGGAGUGGGGUGAGCUACUAGAGCCCAGUGAGCAGAAUAAUAAAACGUCAAUUUAAAUCAUGCUUUCAUGUAUGCG